CCUACGGGAGGCAGCAGUGGGGAAUAUUGGGCAAUGGGCGCAAGCCUGACCCAGCAACGCCGCGUGAAGGAAGAAGGCUUUCGGGUUGUAAACUUCUUUUCUCAGGGACGAAGCAAGUGACGGUAUCUGAGGAAUAAGCCACGGCUAACUACGUCCCAGCCGCCGCGGUAAUACGGAGGUGGCAAGCGUUAUCCGGAUUUACGGGGUGUAAGGGGCGUGGAGGCGGGAAAGCAAGUCAGAUGUGAAAACCAUGGGCUCAACCUGUGGCCUGCAUUUGAAACUGUUUUUCUUGAGUGCUGGUGAGGUAGGCGGAAUGCCUAGUGUAGCGGUGAAAUGCGUAGAUAUUAGGAGGAACACCAGUGGCGAAGGCGGUCUACUGGACAGCAACUGACGCUGAGGCGCGAAAGCGUGGGGAGCAAACAGGAUUAGAUACCCCAGUAGUC
Molecule: ribosomal RNA, 443 nt
Filed under: uncultured bacterium
Lineage: Bacteria
Description: partial 16S ribosomal RNA
Rfam family: Bacterial small subunit ribosomal RNA
Source: RNAcentral